UUUUUGAGAAUUUGAUCCUGGUUCAGGAUGAACGCUGGCGGCGUGCCUUAGGCAUGCAAGUCGAACGGGAAGGUGCCAUACGGUACCUUCCAGUGGCAGACGGGUGAGUAUCGCGUAGGAAUCUACCUCUAGGCGGACCAUAGCUCAUCGAAAGAUGGGGUAAUAGUCCAUAGUCCAGGUGCCGCAUGGUACCUGGUAAAGCGCUUAACUGCGCACCAAGAGAGGAGCCUGCGUCCUAUCAGCUUGUUGGUGGGGUAAAAGCCUACCAAGGCUCUGACGGGUAGCUGGACUGAGAGGUCGAUCAGCCACAACUGCACUGAAACACGGGCAGUACACCUAC
RNAcentral lists this ribosomal RNA (340 nucleotides) under Candidatus Levybacteria bacterium RIFCSPHIGHO2_02_FULL_40_29. RNAcentral describes it as "bacterial SSU rRNA". It matches the Rfam family "Bacterial small subunit ribosomal RNA", at positions 1 to 342 of the family's 1533-position model. Lineage: Bacteria; Candidatus Levyibacteriota. The record is from RNAcentral.